AACGAACGUUGGCGGCGUGCCUAACACAUGCAAGUCGAGCGCGGGAGACUUCGGUCAAACGAGCGGCGCACGGGUGAGGAACACGUGAGUAAUCUGCCCUAGAGUCCGGGAUAACCGUCCGAAAGGAUGGCUAAUACUGGAUAAGCUCACGGAGGCGUAGGCCUCUGGGAGAAAAGCUCCGGCGCUUUAGGAUGAGCUCGCGUCCCAUUAGGUAGUUGGUGAGGUAAUGGCUCACCAAGCCUUCGAUGGGUAACUGGUCUGAGAGGAUGAUCAGUCACACUGGAACUGAGACACGGUCCAGACUCCUACGGGAGGCAGCAGUGGGGAAUAUUGCGCAAUGGAGGAAACUCUGACGCAGCAACGCCGCGUGGGUGAUGAAGGCCUU
RNAcentral lists this ribosomal RNA (385 nucleotides) under uncultured bacterium. RNAcentral's name for it is "bacterial SSU rRNA". It matches the Rfam family "Bacterial small subunit ribosomal RNA", at positions 29 to 418 of the family's 1533-position model. The record is from RNAcentral.